This 30-nucleotide non-coding RNA is filed under the name Mus musculus (house mouse). The record is from RNAcentral. Lineage: Eukaryota; Metazoa; Chordata; Mammalia; Rodentia; Muridae.
UGAACCAGUUCUUGGAUGCUCUCUAACGGU